UGGGGAAUCUUGCGCAAUGCGCGACAGCGUGACGCAGCAACGCCGCGUGGGGGAAGAAGGCUUUCGGGUUGUAAACCCCUUUCAGGAGGGACGAAGCUCCGGCCGCGAAUAGCGGUCCGGAGUGACGGUACUUCCACAAGAAGCCCCGGCUAACUACGUGCCAGCAGCCGCGGUAAUACGUAGGGGGCUAGCGUUGUCCGGAAUCAUUGGGCGUAAAGAGCGCGUAGGCGGCCAGAUAAGUCCGGUGUGAAAGUCACAGGCUCAACCUGUGAAUGCCGCUGGAAACUGUUUGGCUAGAGUCCGGUAGGGGCGAGUGGAAUUCCUGGUGUAGCGGUGAAAUGCGCAGAUAUCAGGAGGAACACCAAUGGCGAAGGCAGCUCGCUGGAACGGUACUGACGCUGAGGCGCGAAAGCGUGGGGAGCGAACAGGAUUAGAUACCCUGGUAGUCCACGCCGUAAACGAUGGGUACUAGGUGUAGGAGGUGUCGAC
RNAcentral lists this ribosomal RNA (489 nucleotides) under uncultured Actinomycetes bacterium. Its description in RNAcentral is "bacterial SSU rRNA". It matches the Rfam family "Bacterial small subunit ribosomal RNA", at positions 355 to 836 of the family's 1533-position model. Lineage: Bacteria; Bacillati; Actinomycetota; Actinomycetes. The record is from RNAcentral.